CGAGGAAAAAAUUUGUGGACAUAAUGCAUUAAUGCUACAAUAAACAAAGAAUGAAGACCUUUAUUAUGAUUAAAAUGUGGUACGAAUAGAAAACCCGAAAAUAAUUAAGAAAGCAUUGAGAAGUGUCAUCUAUGAAUUAAAGCAGUAGCAUGGGCAAUGACCUGGAUUGACAGAUGACAAUACAUGAAGAUAGGACCACCUCCCCCAUCUUUGUUGGCCUUUCUCCACGUUCUCUUCUUUAUUCCCAACUGGAUAAUCUUAUCUCAAUUGUUGAAAAAUUCAUCAAUAAUUUAUCUUCACCGUUAACCAAACAAACAAAUAAUGCACAAUUCUUUUUCAUUCACAAGAUAUAUAUAAUUCUAAUAAUUUUUCACACCCAGAAGAAAUUAAAUUCUCCAUUAGUUGUCUGACGAGCUCAUUUAGCUAAAAAAAAGUAACUCAUUCUCAGAAAUAAAUUCGGGAAUGGUGAGAAAAUUAAAUUAAAUUAAACAUCAUAAACAUGUUACUGAUGUUGACAGUAUUGGACCUGAUUAAUGUACUGAACUUUGUGACAUUAUCACUAUUGAAAUAAAAAGGGGGGGAAAAACUAACUUUACAGAAACCUACCUCAUCAGCAGAGUGAAGUUCGUCCAAAAAAUUGGAAUAUGAUGUUCAUUGUAAUCUUAAUUUAAUGAAGAAGAAAUGAACAGAAGCCAAAAUAUGUUUUUUUAAAUAUAUAUUGAGCCAAAUGAUAGUUAAGGACAACAUUAAAAUUCCAUACAAAUUUUGAAAAGUUAGAAAAAUCCAACGUGAUAAAUUUUAUAAAAGCGCGCGGUGUUAACUCUAGAAUUAGAAGAAUUUUAAAGAACAAAAUUAUAGAAUCUAGAUAUGCUAUUUAUAUUGAAGGUGUAUUUAAUUUCUACUAAGACUAAGAUUUUUAGCAAACUCAUACCCCUAUCAGAUCAAUCUUUAAAAGCUUUUCUUGAAUUUAGGAAGAGGGAAGAGUAAAAGAACUAGAAAUUAACAGAAGGAUUUUCAAAUUUCUAGUCGAAGUUGAACUUACAACCUUAUGAUAGAGAAUGAUAUAUACUGAUGCAGCUCAUAGAAAGAAGUGAUU
RNAcentral lists this long non-coding RNA (1096 nucleotides) under Olea europaea subsp. europaea. The record is from RNAcentral. Lineage: Eukaryota; Viridiplantae; Streptophyta; Magnoliopsida; Lamiales; Oleaceae.